Molecule: ribosomal RNA, 253 nt
Filed under: uncultured bacterium
Lineage: Bacteria
Description: partial 16S ribosomal RNA
Rfam family: Bacterial small subunit ribosomal RNA
Source: RNAcentral
UACGAAGGGUGCAAGCGUUACUCGGAAUUACUGGGCGUAAAGCGUGCGUAGGUGGUUUGUUAAGUCUGAUGUGAAAGCCCUGGGCUCAACCUGGGAACGGCAUUGGAAACUGGCUUACUAGAGUGCGGUAGAGGGGUGUGGAAUUCCCGGUGUAGCAGUGAAAUGCGUAGAUAUCGGGAGGAACAUCUGUGGCGAAGGCGGCUACCUGGACCAGCACUGACACUGAAGCACGAAAGCGUGGGGAGCAAACAGG